UGGAAGUAAAAGUCGUAACAAGGUCUCCGUUGGUGAACCAGCGGAGGGAUCAUUACCGAGUUUACAACUCCCAAACCCAAUGUGAACGUUACCAAACUGUUGCCUCGGCGGGAUCUCUGCCCCGGGUGCGUCGCAGCCCCGGACCAAGGCGCCCGCCGGAGGACCAACCAAAACUCUUAUUGUAUACCCCCUCGCGGGUUUUUUUUAUAAUCUGAGCCUUCUCGGCGCCUCUCGUAGGCGUUUCGAAAAUGAAUCAAAACUUUCAACAACGGAUCUCUUGGUUCUGGCAUCGAUGAAGAACGCAGCGAAAUGCGAUAAGUAAUGUGAAUUGCAGAAUUCAGUGAAUCAUCGAAUCUUUGAACGCACAUUGCGCCCGCCAGUAUUCUGGCGGGCAUGCCUGUCCGAGCGUCAUUUCAACCCUCGAACCCCUCCGGGGGGUCGGCGUUGGGGAUCGGCCCUCCCUUAGCGGGGUGGCCGUCUCCGAAAUACAGUGGCGGUCUCGCCGCAGCCUCUCCUGCGCAGUAGUUUGCACACUCGCAUCGGGAGCGCGGCGCGUCCACAGCCGUUAAACACCCAACUUCUGAAAUGUUGACCUCGGAUCAGGUAGGAAUACCCGC
Molecule: ribosomal RNA, 617 nt
Filed under: Trichoderma lixii
Lineage: Eukaryota; Fungi; Ascomycota; Sordariomycetes; Hypocreales; Hypocreaceae
Description: eukaryotic LSU rRNA
Rfam family: 5.8S ribosomal RNA (bases 258-411)
Source: RNAcentral